CUCCAAAUAACUACUUACUAGAGAAAUGAAAACCAAAACAAUUCUGUGAUAUCACUUCAUACUGUUCAUAUUGACAAAUGUUCUAAAAUGACAAAAGGACCAAAUAACAAAUAUUGGAGGAGAUAGGCAAAAAAUGGGGACAUUAAUACCUGUUAGAUAAGAGAGGAGACAUUCCACAUUGAGGAGAGAACAGUCUCUGACAGAGACUAGCUGAAGAGAAAGUGGGGGAGGAGCAAGAAGAAAAAACAGAGAAUUCUAGGAGAGAAUCAGAAUCUUGAGUAUCCAAUGAGAACUUCACUUCCACCUGGGAACCCGAGGAGGGAGAUAGAUUCCCUAGGCUGAGAAAAAGCCUAUUUCUUGGGAGAUCUAUUGUCCCUUCUGAACCCCUGAAUACCUCCAAUCAAACUCUCUGUGACAGCAAUCUAAAGUCCUCAGCAGGAUUGUGGAUUGGGACUUUGAAGAUCCUAUUGUGAAUUAAUUCGACUCUCUUCUGUACUCUACUGUUGAAUCCUCUGCCAACUUAUCCUAUUGCUGUUCCUACAACUCAUUUCCUCUACUUUUAUCCAUUGGUUUUUAAAUGAAGUUGGAGGAAAUCAUGUACCUGAGUUGACUGGGUAAACAACAAAUUUGUUAUUUAAUAUUGGCUGUAACUUUAGUGCUAUAAUGUUGCUUUUACUUUUCCCUAUCUGAUUUUUCAUAUUAGCUUCACAAAAGCUAUUCCAAGAUUUUUCUUCUCUUCUCAAAUUUGUCAAAUGUUGUAAUCUCCUCACCUCCUUGUUAAUCCUUGCCUCUUAAUAUAUUUUCAUUUCAAAAUCCUUUGACAUUAUCAUUUACAAUGGAGGGAAUGUAAAUCUACUGGAUUUUACCUUUUAACUUUUAAUUC
Molecule: long non-coding RNA, 883 nt
Filed under: Monodelphis domestica (gray short-tailed opossum)
Lineage: Eukaryota; Metazoa; Chordata; Mammalia; Didelphimorphia; Didelphidae
Description: lncRNA (ENSMODG00000030419.2)
Source: RNAcentral